This is a long non-coding RNA of Myotis lucifugus (little brown bat), 317 nucleotides long. RefSeq lists it as uncharacterized. The transcript has 4 exons. The record is from RefSeq and is a predicted model, not a curated record. Lineage: Eukaryota; Metazoa; Chordata; Mammalia; Chiroptera; Vespertilionidae.
CGCUGUCCCGCCUCUGGGUCAAGUCUGCAGCCAGCAGUUCUGUGGAUGCUACCCGCCUUCCCCAGGUGGAUCUCGUUAACCGCCAAGAGCCAGGUGAGAAGAGGGUAGUGCUGUACUCAGGCCACAUGGAGACAGGCCAGUGUGCUAUGGCAAAUGCCACAAAGUCCAUGGGUCUGGCAACGAUGGGAAAAUGAAGAUGAAAACUUCUUGGAGCUCAGCUAACGGGAAAGAACUCCCCAUUUCACCUUCCUGAGCAGUGGAACCCGUGGCUCAGAAACAGCGACUGCCCAUGAAACGUCAGCUCGCAAAUACAUUCC